UAUGGGUGGGGAUUUGUUGCACGACU
This 26-nucleotide microRNA is filed under the name Xenopus laevis (African clawed frog). Its description in RNAcentral is "xla-miR-92a-5p". Its record names the gene xla-miR-92a-5p. The record is from miRBase by way of RNAcentral. Lineage: Eukaryota; Metazoa; Chordata; Amphibia; Anura; Pipidae.